GACAGAGGGUGCAAACGUUGUUCGGAAUUACUGGCGUAAAGCGUGUGUAGGCGGCUUUGCAAGUCGGAUGUGAAAGCCCCGGGCUCAACCCGGGAAGUGCACUCGAUACUGCAGAGCUUGAGUGUCGGAGAGGUUGGUGGAAUUCUCGGUGUAGAGGUGAAAUUCGUAGAUAUCGAGAGGAACACCGGCGGCGAAGGCGGCCAACUGGACGAACACUGACGCUGAGACACGAAAGCGUGGGGAGCAAACAGG
Molecule: ribosomal RNA, 252 nt
Filed under: uncultured bacterium
Lineage: Bacteria
Description: partial 16S ribosomal RNA
Rfam family: Bacterial small subunit ribosomal RNA
Source: RNAcentral